AGCAAAGAGUUAAGUGUUGUCUUUUUCUAUAAACUUAAGCAUGCAUCAUAUUUUUAAGACACAACUUUACUGGAAGUGUUUGCUUAAAUGAGGUAAAAAACAAGGGAUGCGAUAUGAAUGAGAGGGAAUUUGUAUGCAUUUCUCAAUGGCAACAGCACACAUUUUAAAGGAUUACACUGUAGCAUUAACAAAAGCUUUUCCAAAUGAAUACGUUUGUGAAAACACAUUCAAGAUAAUUAAAAUAGUCCAUAUAUUUCUGUGGCCAAAUGUACAUUAAAAAAUAAAUUUUUAGAAAUGGCAUAAAAUAAACAAUUUCAUUACAGCACUAACUUAGCUGGUUUAAAAAAACAAAACAAAACAAACAAACCACUCCAGCUCUUGACAAACUUGAAUUAUAACCAAUUACAGAGAACUAUCCCAAACAGCAACCAAGGUUCAACACUCCACUACUAAAAUUAGGGUGCAAAGCUUCAUCAGUUGUUUGUAUUUAUAAGGAAUUCUCAGUACUGCAAAAUACUGACAGCUCAAAAUAUUUCAGAAGCUUAAAGGAACACUCCACCACAAUAUCAGCCACAUAACAUCAUCUUCAAGAACUUGUCAUGGGGCUUGGAGUCCCCCUGCACUGUCUUACCUUAUGUUGCACAGUUUUUCAUAUGUUUUAACAUCGAAUUUCUGUCCCUGGGUGCAGUCACACCGCAUCCUAAGGUAAGAUUGCAUUCAGGGACUCUAGGCCUCAUGUUAACUGAGAUGUAGUUGCUAAGGGGUGGAAUGGCCAUUUAAACCAGGAAAGGGCAUGUUCGAACACUGUUACUUGCUUUACAAGAUGUUCAACCCUUCAAAUCAGCUGAAGCUCCCAUUAAAAAAGCAAGCCAAUUUGAUAUAAGAAGAAUAAUUUUGUAGUAAUAAUUGCCUUUAUUGCGUUUCGCUACAUUGAUUUUGGGCUACUACAUCCAUUUGAGGCAUUCAUGUACACUGCUUUUAAAAUGCAAAUUACUGAAGAUAUUUGGAAUGGGGUAACAUUUAACUAAAUCAUGAAAAGUAUUUAAUGUAAAAAAAAUUCCUAAAGAAAGCAUCCAUCAAACCUUUCAUGUAACAUGCAUUGCUUUCUCGUGCAGUACACAUUUGGAGUUUACAUUUCUUACAACUGUGUUCAGUUAUCUAUAAAACACGACUGAUGAGGAGUGACAGGAUGAUGUGAAAAUAACAAGAAAUUAUUAGUUCCAGUUCACUUCCACAAUGCAAGCGACGCAUCAAAUGAAACAAACAGAAAUCUAAAAAAAAAUCACUGUGUGUGAACGCAAUCCAAACCUCAUAGCAUUCAUUCUGAAAGGAUGUUGGCAGUGUUCGGGAAGUAGACAGAGG
This is a non-coding RNA of Pelobates cultripes (western spadefoot toad), 1362 nucleotides long. The record is from the annotation of a GenBank genome assembly. NCBI's taxonomy places the organism in Eukaryota, Metazoa, Chordata, Amphibia, Anura, Pelobatidae.